AAUGCGUAAAUAUCCGGAGGAACACCAGUGGCGAAGGCGGCACGCUGGCUGUACCUGACGCUAAGACGCGAAAGCAUGGGUAGCGAACGGGAUUAGAAACCCCGGUAGUCCAUGCCGUAAACGAUGUGCACUAGGCGUAGGAGACUAACUGUCUGCUGUGCCGCAGCAAACGCGAUAAGUGCACCGCCUGGGGACUACGUGCCGCAAGGCUAAUACUCGAAGGAAAUUGACGGGGGCCCGCACAAGCAGCGGAGCGUGUGGUUUAAUUCGAGGCUACGCGAAGAACCUUACCUGGGCUUGACAUCCUGGUGGUAGGGAACCGAAAGGGGACCGACCUUCGGGAGCCAGGACAGGUGCUGCAUGGCUGUCGUCAGCUCGUGCCGUGAGGUGUUCGGUUAAGUCCGGUAACGAGCGCAACCCUCGUCGCUAGUUACAAGUGUAUAGCGAGACUGCCCGUGGCAAGCGGGAGGAAGGUGGGGAUGACGUCAAGUCAGCAUGGCCUUUAUGUCCAGGGCUACACACACGGUACUAUGGCCGGUACAAUGGGUUGCCAACCCGCGAGGG
This 564-nucleotide ribosomal RNA is filed under the name uncultured Chloroflexota bacterium. Its description in RNAcentral is "bacterial SSU rRNA". It matches the Rfam family "Bacterial small subunit ribosomal RNA", at positions 685 to 1263 of the family's 1533-position model. The record is from RNAcentral. Lineage: Bacteria; Bacillati; Chloroflexota.